UGUCCUACGGGACGCAGCAGUAGGGAAUUUUCGUCAAUGGGCGCAAGCCUGAACGAGCAAUGCCGCGUGAACGAGGAAGGUCUUCGGAUCGUAAAGUUCUGUUGAAGGGGAAAAAGAGCGGAGAGAGGAAAUGAACUCCGAUUGACAUUACCCUUCGAGGAAGUCGCGGCUAACUACGUGCCAGCAGCCGCGGUAAUACGUAGGUGGCAAGCGUUGUCCGGAUUUAUUGGGCGUAAAGCGAGUGCAGGCGGUUCAAUAAGUCUGU
Molecule: ribosomal RNA, 265 nt
Filed under: uncultured bacterium
Lineage: Bacteria
Description: partial 16S ribosomal RNA
Rfam family: Bacterial small subunit ribosomal RNA
Source: RNAcentral